CUUAUGAUGUGAAAAUAGUAAAGCUUAUCUAAGCAGAGCUUGGUGCACCAACCACUUUCCCCUAAUGAUCUGUUCUGGCUCAUACUAGCACUGAAGUGAAUCCUGUUUUAAUUUGUUUUCUUUCUUCCAAGAGCAAGGGUAAAGCAGCGAUAACAAGCACUAAAUAGCCAUGCAGCAUACUCACCAGCUAGGUGUAAUGAUUAUACCACUGACUGAGAGAAGAGCAAAGUUCCUACCUAAGGCUUGAUGGUGCUACAUAUGCUAUAAUUAAUAUGUCUAAUUGAGCAUUUUAUUGUCCUCAGUAAAGUAAGCUGCUUGUCUUGUUUCCCCUGUCAGUUCAAUCUCUACUUUUUCAGGUUCAAAAUUCAAGGUUGUUGCUUCCCUUGUCAAAGCUUAAUUAUUUAUUUUUUUUUUAAUUUUUAUUUUUUUUUGCAGUUGGUAAGGAGCAAUCAAAGCCUAGCAGAUAUGAGUAGGAAACCACUGGAAUACAAGGGACUGUAAACUCAAUCAUCACUAAGUUCUGAUUUUGAAGCCACUGAGAAGGGUAAGCUUCUCAAUAAGAUUGCCUGAGCAGUACUGGCAAUGCCCUGGUGCCAGAGAGAAUAAGCAGUUUG
RNAcentral lists this long non-coding RNA (614 nucleotides) under Anser brachyrhynchus (Pink-footed goose). RNAcentral describes it as "lncRNA (ENSABRG00000004598.1)". The record is from RNAcentral. Lineage: Eukaryota; Metazoa; Chordata; Aves; Anseriformes; Anatidae.